GCCACACGGGGGCAGCAGAGCCUCAGCGGCUGCCGCAGCGGGUCCAGUUUCCGGCCGCCGGGGUUGGGCUGGCGGUGCCUGGGGGUCCUCCCCAGAGGCCCGCGUGUGAAACGUCCGAGUGCGCUGGGCGCUGGACACGGAGAUGGGUGCUUGGGCCACGGGCCUGGGGGACCCCACACGGCCGGCUAGGCAGGCCCAGACAGCCCAGGGUGGGGGUUCCAUGGGGGCAGGAGGGGAGAAGCCUGGGCUGUGGAGCAGCUGGGACGUCCGGGGAAGGGCCUGGGGGUCAGAGGGGCGGCUCCCGGGACAGGGAGGCACGUGGAGGGGCGGGGUUUGUGGCAGCCCCGGAGCCGCCUCUGAAGCUUCCAUCUGCAGCCUCCUGUGGGGCCGGGUCUGCUUCUCUUGCUGGGCACCCACAUCCACCCCCGAGGGGUGUGCGACAACCCCCAUUCCAGCCCACUCAGAUGGUCUCUAGCCCCUCCCGUCACAGUGAACCCCGGUGUCGGUGCGAGACGCCUCCGUGUAUUCCCGGACGUCCCUCUGCAGGCCCAUCCCCACCUCACAGACAGUCACACCCUUCCAGGCCUUGCCCCAUCCCCAGUCCCUGGCCUCACCAUCGCAUUGCAGGGAGGCGGGCAUAUGCAACCUCCAUGAAAUAAAGCCCUAACGGAGAAGGCCAGAGUGGGAACUUCGUUUCCACCAGCAGGCAAGCUGUUUAGUGAGAAAGAAAGGGCCCUGCAAAGAUCCUCCCCAGGUGGACGGGCAGCCCCCAAGCCUGUCUUGAGCUCCCGGACGCUGCUCCUGGGGAAGGGCCUGCCGAGGACAGGGGCCAGUGGGAGCCCCUGCCUGACCACAGGCUGUUCUGCAGCCCAGGUCAGGAGCGCUGGUGCCUGCCGUGUGGGGUGGCCCUGGUCCUGACCGCCUGGGGUCCCAGGUGGUCCCGGGUUGUAAGAGUCUGUGGUGCUUGUGAAAAGCUUGCACAUCCUUCCAGGGGAGACUCGCGCGUGGGGCGAGGGCAGGAGCAGGAGCUCAUAAUCACACAGGAAAACAGGAAGCCCUGAACCCCGGGCUCGGGAAGCGGCGGGGCGUCAGGUUUGGAGGGGCUUCGUCUCCCACCACCUCCCCAUUUGCACCCCCAGUCCCUGACCCGCAUCUUUCCUCACCUGGUCACUGUCCCCCACCCUGUCCCCCACCCUGUCCCCCACCCUGUCCCCUGUCUGCCAUCUCCCUCCCAGGAGGGGGCUGCUCCUGCCUAGCACGCGGUGCCCUUCCUCCCACGUCGCUUAAUUAUAUUUGAAAAUACAACAUUUGAAACGUGCAAAGAAUGGAGGGGCUUUUCUGUGAGUGCAGGGUGCCCCUCCCGUGUCCCCCCACCAGGGGGCUUCCCCGUCCAGCCCCGGCUUGUCCCUUUCAUUUUAACAAAACGUCCUCACCACAGUGCAUGUGUGUUUUAUAAAAGCAGUAUUGGAAGUUAAUGCUUUUAAUACA
RNAcentral lists this long non-coding RNA (1488 nucleotides) under Homo sapiens (human). RNAcentral's name for it is "HSALNT0379614". Lineage: Eukaryota; Metazoa; Chordata; Mammalia; Primates; Hominidae. The record is from RNAcentral.